AACUUUUAGCAAUGGAUCACUUGGUUCUGGCAUCGAUGAUGAACGCAGCGAAAUGCGAUAAGUAAUGUGAAUUGCAGAAUUUUGUGAAUCAUCGAGUUUUUGAACGCACAUUGCACCUUCUGGUAUUCCGGGAGGUACACCUGUUCGAGCGCCGUUUCAAAACUAAGGCUUUGCCUUUUGUUGACAAUCUCCGGAUUAGGAGUUGUUGAAACACUAUUCAGCGCCUUCUCGGUUAGCAGCGUAGCACAAUACGUAAGCGAUACUGAAAGAAGGUUGCUUGUGUUCUGAUCAUUUGGCCUCGGAUCAGGUGGGGAUACCCGCUGAACUUAAGCAUAUCAAUAAGCGGAGGCU
RNAcentral lists this unclassified non-coding RNA (351 nucleotides) under uncultured Ascomycota. RNAcentral's name for it is "sequence contains ITS2". The stretch from base 1 to 154 matches the Rfam family "5.8S ribosomal RNA". Lineage: Eukaryota; Fungi; Ascomycota. The record is from RNAcentral.